Molecule: non-coding RNA, 272 nt
Organism: Pelobates cultripes (western spadefoot toad)
Lineage: Eukaryota; Metazoa; Chordata; Amphibia; Anura; Pelobatidae
Source: the annotation of a GenBank genome assembly
GGGAGGGAUGGGGUGACACAGUGACAGAUGGAGGGGAUGACUGGUGACAGAGUGAGGGAGAGGAUGACUAGUGACAGAGUUAGGGAGGGAGUGACUAGUGACAGAGGGAGGGAUGGGGUGACUAGUGACAGUCACCAUCUCCCUCCCUCUGUCACUAGUCACUCCCUCCCUAACUCUGUCACUAGUCAUCCCCUCCCUCACUCUGUCACCAGUCACCCCCUCCCUCUGUCACCCCAUCCCUCCCUCUGUAACUGUGUCACCCCAUCCCUCCC